Molecule: long non-coding RNA, 2280 nt
Filed under: Homo sapiens (human)
Lineage: Eukaryota; Metazoa; Chordata; Mammalia; Primates; Hominidae
Description: HSALNT0371759
Source: RNAcentral
GAUCCACCCAUCUUGGCCUCCCAAUGUGCAGGGAUUACAGGCAUAAGCCACAGAGCCCGGCCUACAUAUUGCUUAUUAUUCAUACUUAAAAGCGCAUGCCUGGGAAUCGGGGGCUGGAGAGGGCUGAAGGCUCCCCAAGCCACCUUCCCAAAUCCUACGUCUCAUCUGUGCCAUGAAAGGGGCAGGUUAGAUGUCAGCGUUUCCCACACUAGCCUGAGUGUAAGCAUCCACUGAGGGAACUUCCAAAUAAUACAGACUCCCAGAUCACGCUGAUUCCAGGAGGUCUGGGACGGGUGCAAGGAAUUUCAAGAAGUAACAUCAAGUUAUUCUUAUGCUCAGAGAAGGCUAAUAAAUUUGGGGCGAGGCCAAAAGGCGUUGGAAGCCAGUAGUUUGAAAGAAAAAUAGCUUUCCAAAGGCUUUCGCUUUGUAAAAACUAAAUGGUGCCUUUUGGAAUACAAUGUGAACAUAACUUUUCCAAGGAUUUAAGGUGUUGAUGAGAAAGACAUUCUGAGACCUGCCAGCAGAUGGAGCCAUAAAACAAGAAAUAGAUGUUUACAGCCUCAACUCGGGAGAAAAAUACCGUGAAUGCACCUUACACUAUAGAAGUAACACUUUUCCCUCUGCUUUAUUUUCUCUAUAUGCUAAACUCCUUACUUGCCUCUGCUAAAGAACAUCGCUGGAGUGUCUUGGUGUGUGAAGUAUGAAAUAGUUUCUAAAGACAUAAGUUGUGAUAUAGCAAGACAGAGGCAAAACCCCUCAUUCUUCUGAGAGUGUAAACAUCAUGUCGCAAGAAGCUCACCUAAAAUUUGAAAAGGAAAACUCAACGAAAAUUUGAAAAGAAAUUCAAGGAAAAAAAAAUGUGACCUUUAAAAUUUCCAUGUUGACAGCACCACCAGGACCCCUUCUGGGAUCCGUUGCUAGGUAUAACUUCGUGCCUGACUCUGGAAGUUAAAAAAUGAAUAGUUACAGAUUCUUUUUCCGGGAGCCGCCUCUAGAGGGGUGUACCCACCAGGGAAGGUGAGCAGAGUGCCACCAAUCCUGUGGGUGCUCAGCGGGAGGUUGCUGAGGGAUGCUUCGUGACUCAACGCUGCUGAAGCCCUGAAGGCUGAUUUGGGUUUGCAGGGAACAGGAGGAUCGGCAUGGCGGAGCACGUUGGUCUGAGCACAUGUGAGGUGUUUAGAAAACUGCAAGUCAUCCAGCACGGGAGCAACGCCAGGCACAGGCAGGGGAGUCGUAGGGGAUGAUGCUGCAGAAGGGACAGACCGGGUUCUAGAAGUUGGCGAGCAAGGAAAUGUGAGCAUCUGGACUGCCGAACGCACCCUGUUAAGUGCUACUCAUGUCGUUCUGAUUGGGCUGAAUUGAAGAGCUGCCCAGCCUCUCCCCUGGCCCUGAGACCCCUGACCUAGAGGGACUAACUAGAGGGACGGCAUGGCAAUGGCAAGUGUACCCAAGACAGCAUGCCCGGAGGUUUAUCCAGGAAUAUUCAUCCAGAGGGAAAGAGCAAUGGACGAUGAGCAUGUUGGACCAGAUGGGCACGUGUCCAAGUGCACCCUAUGGAAUGUAUCAGCAUCGGCCUCGCCUGGAAGCCUGAUAGAAAUGCAGAUUCCCAGGCCCUGCCCAGGCCUGCUGUAUCCGGAUCUCUUGGUGGUGGAGCCCAGGGAUCUGCAUGUCACGAGCUUGCUCAGAGUAUCUGUGAACUGAGUUCAAUCCACAGCCCUCUACUCCAAUGCUAGCCAGACCCUGGGGCCAUUGCCUCUCCCCCCACAUGCCCCUCCAUACUGUCAGCACCUCUGCAUUGUGGCCUUUCUGCCACCCCCAACCGACUUGGGGAUCCCAACCACCCACACCCAGGGGCCUGCACCAGACUGCAGAGUGUUGCCUGAGGGGACACAGUCCACAGUCAUCCUUUUCUCCUCUCCUUCCCAGUUAAUUCCAUUUUCCACGCCUCUCAUGGCGAUUCCUGAUCUUCACAGGCCCCAGAGCCUCUGACCCUGGUGUUCCCCCUGAGAAAAUGAGGCCAGGGUUUGUGAGCUGCCCAUGCCACACCUGUGCCUGCCUCAUCAUGUGGAGUCCCUUUAGCUCAGCUCUAGGGUCCCCCUUCUUGCUUCCUCAAAGAUCCUCCUCUCUCCCAAGUUCCUCUUCUUCUUCUCAAUACUUCUCUCUUCUGGGGCUUCCUCCUUGACACGUCAAUGUUGUCUAGCUGUCUUCAUCAAUUUUCUUUAUUAUUUUAUUUGUAUAUAUUGUAUUUUAUUUUAAGACAGAGUCUUGCUGUGUCAGCCA